AGUGAACGCUGGCGGUAGGCCUAACUCAUGCAAGUCGAACGGCAGCACAGUAAGAGCUUGCUCUUACGGGUGGCGAGUGGCGGACGGGUGAGGAAUACAUCGGAAUCUACUUUUUCGUGGGGGAUAACGUAGGGAAACUUACGCUAAUACCGCAUACGACCCACGGGUGAAAGCAGGGGAUCUUCGGACCUUGCGCGAUUGAAUGAGCCGAUGUCGGAUUAGCUAGUUGGCGGGGUAAAGGCCCACCAAGGCGACGAUCCGUAGCUGGUCUGAGAGGAUGAUCAGCCACACUGGAACUGAGACACGGUCCAGACUCCUACGGGAGGCAGCAGUGGGGAAUAUUGGACAAUGGGCGCAAGCCUGAUCCAGCCAUACCGCGUGGGUGAAGAAGGCCUUCGGGUUGUAAAGCCCUUUUGUUGGGAAAGAAAAGCAGCAGGUUAAUACCCCGCUGUUCUGACGGUACCCAAAGAAUAAGCACCGGCUAACUUCGUG
Molecule: ribosomal RNA, 492 nt
Filed under: uncultured bacterium
Lineage: Bacteria
Description: partial 16S ribosomal RNA
Rfam family: Bacterial small subunit ribosomal RNA
Source: RNAcentral